RNAcentral lists this long non-coding RNA (1236 nucleotides) under Salmo salar (Atlantic salmon). Its description in RNAcentral is "lncRNA (ENSSSAG00000096773.1)". Lineage: Eukaryota; Metazoa; Chordata; Actinopteri; Salmoniformes; Salmonidae. The record is from RNAcentral.
GUGUGUGUGUGUCUGGUGUGUGUGUGUGUGUGUGUGUUCUUCUGUUGGAGGUGUUCUAGAAACAGCAGCUCGGACUGUCAGAGCGGUCUGAUUGGUGAGGGGGGGGGGGGGGAAAACUUAGCUGUUAUUGGCAGAGAGAUUUCAAACCUCUCUUAUUGGUCUAUUAACCUAAUUAUGAUGUCACAAGGCAGGCCAAAAAAACUCCGCCCCAACCAAAAAACAGGAUUGAAAUUUCAGAGGGGUCUUUUCAAAUAACUCUUCCCACUAAAAUGACAUUAUCAAUUUCACAGUAUUAUUCCAACCUCAUAGCGUGGAAAUAUAUCAAUCACAGGAACGUUUUUUCACUGCCCUGGGCCUUUAAAAGAAGUUUAAUAAAAAAGUGACGAAUGUAAUAUUGUGUGGUAAAAAAAAAAAUGUUCUGUUGAAUUCUGUGUAAUUAUGAAUUUUGAUUUAAAAGAGAUGUUUUGAUUUGUAAAAUUCAUUUGAUCUGAAUUGAGAUGGAGAAAUAAAAAAAUAAAACGUUGAUUACCCCUAAAAAAAAUACUGAAAGGUUGAAUAAAAUGACAGAUAAAACUCGGUUCUGUUAUACUGCAGGUCUUUAUGUUCAGAUAAAAGGGGAGGUUUCCUUUAUGUUCAGAUAAAAGGGGAGGUUUCCUUUAUGUCCAGAUAAAAGGGGAGGUUUCCUUUAUGUCCAGAUAAAAGGGGAGGUUUCCUUUAUGUCCAGAUAAAAGGGGAGGUUUCCUUUAUGUCCAGAUAAAAGGGGAGGUUUCCUUUAUGUUCAGAUAAAAGGGGAGGUUUUCCUUUAUGUUCAGAUAAAAGGGGAGGUUUCAGUAUGCAGAUCAGGGACGAUAUACAGGACCAGUCAAAAUGUUGGACAACACCAACUCAAUCCAGGGUUUUUAUUUUAAUUGUAUUUUUCUACAUUGUAGAAUAAUAGUGACGACAUCAAAACUAUGAAAACAACCCCUAUUAAUAUAGAAUGUUCUCUGGGUUUAAUAGACAUAUUAAAAGAUUAGUCAUAUAACUUUUUUUAAAAUUAUUAUAAUUAUUAUUCCCUUUAAUGUGGCAUGAAACAGAACCAGUCCUGUUUUCAGCUGAUUGUCUAACAAUCCCUUCCCGAAAGAGAUCUGUCACACAAAACUAAAAACUAAAAAAGUGUGAUGUCAUUCAGUGAUUGUCAUUCGUAACCAUUCGGCUUGUAGCCUGAAUUGAUGCGUCCACUGCUGUAAACGCGCG